CCCUUCUCAGGAUUACACCUGGAGAGUUCCCAGCACUCUACCAGUCUCGACUAUGGGAGGGAGAUUCAAGCAGAAGCAUACUCAUUCCAUUCCUAGCUUGGGCAGUGGCUAGCAAGUGGAAGACAAUCUGCUGCAAGU
This is a small nucleolar RNA of Ornithorhynchus anatinus (platypus), 138 nucleotides long. Lineage: Eukaryota; Metazoa; Chordata; Mammalia; Monotremata; Ornithorhynchidae. The record is from RefSeq and is a predicted model, not a curated record.